CCCUCCUACAGAGGCAUGUCUGUGGUUCCCUGUCUUUGGACUUGUACGAAUUGGAGGCAAAGAAAUGUGGACUUGGAGAGAAGUCCAGGGCCAACUUGCUCCUUGCAGGCUCAUGAUCAACCAUCCCACACAG
This is a small nucleolar RNA of Molossus molossus (Pallas's mastiff bat), 133 nucleotides long. RefSeq annotates it as small nucleolar RNA SNORA38. Lineage: Eukaryota; Metazoa; Chordata; Mammalia; Chiroptera; Molossidae. The record is from RefSeq and is a predicted model, not a curated record. The transcript has a single exon.